Eucalyptus grandis is the source of this 2100-nucleotide long non-coding RNA. RefSeq lists it as uncharacterized. Lineage: Eukaryota; Viridiplantae; Streptophyta; Magnoliopsida; Myrtales; Myrtaceae. The record is from RefSeq and is a predicted model, not a curated record. The transcript has 3 exons.
AUGGACUUACUAUGAAGAUGUGUUCUCUUGGUGUGUACAUGGGCUAAAUGUAUGUCUCAUGUUCGUAUGUUCUAUCCGCAUGUUUUGCAUCAGUGUAAGCAAGUCAUGUCUUGUAUUGCCAACUUCAGCGGGUGGAUGUUUCGUCUUCUCUUUCAAUACCACAAGACUGCGGAAGGGAAAGUGAAUUGACUGUCAAAGUAUCGAGGAGCCCUUGUGAAUUUGGUGUAUGUAGCCUUGGAAAUGUCAUAGUCGUUACCACUUCUUUUUCUGAAUGGUUGGUCUCGAUAUGAGUGGAUGUUGAGACAAUGGAGGAUUUCGUGAUUUGUAGGGAGGCUGCAUUGAUGACUUAGCUACAUUAUCUGGUGUAAGUGCAUUUGCUGUGCAUAUACAAUGAGUGGAAGGGAUUUUCUGGGUGGACUUUGGAUCUACAGGCUCUCUUAUUAGAUCCUUGUAGGAACAAAAAUAUUCAUUGCCAAGAACAGUAAGUAGAAUUGUUCCAGAAGUUAGUUCUUAUUUUUAAGCUAUAUUUCCUGGGAAAGCUACUGUUAAAGCUUAUGUUACUCGUUCUUUGAGUGGAUUACACUACGUAAUGUUUAUCUUUAGCUAGGAGUCAUGUACCUCCUGGUUUUAUAUCACAUUUUAUUUUUGCCUUUGACACUGGAAAUGUCUGGGAGACUGUACAUAUAAUUGUGAUGGUAGGCAUAUCAAAAUUGGUGUUACCAUGGGACAUCACAUGGUGUUCAUGUCCUGAACACUGGACAGUGCACAAUAGAGUAUAUACUUUAUCCAAAUUAAAAGGUAGAGAGAGUUCUAUUCAUUCAGAAGAACUGAGUGUCUCGAGAGCAGAUGAAGGUUGAUGUGUUAUAUAUCAUGGUAGAAGGGAGGCUAUUGCUUUUCUCACAUUUAAAUGCAUGUAUACUUGGUGAUUCUAAAGAUAUUGAGAGAUAUAAGACAACUUUACAGGGCUUCGCUUUUCAGUCUCGAGCAUUCAGUUAUUAUGCUUCUUUUCUCGCAUGUCUGUUGGAGAUUUGAGAUUUCAGAAGUCAAAUGUUCCUCCUCCUUUGGCUGACAGAACUAAAGGUUCCUCAAGAAGAGUUUUCAUACGAUCAUCUUGCCUUUAUAAAUUAAUUUAUUUAACACUGUUCCCGAUCUCAAUGGACACAACUAGGCACGACAAGAAAUUGUGCUCUGAUGUGUCAGUAGAGAGCAGUCACUUAUCAGCUUACGCUUUAGUUGUGGGACUUGCUUACAUCGGUUAGUAUGAUUGCAGGUUCUUUUUGUACUCAUUGAUGGUAGUGAGUGGCCAGCAGCGGAUUAUGUUGUGAACAUGGAUGGGCAAGGCAUCAGCACGUCUUACCACAGUACAUCACCAACUGCAGCCAAUUAAUGCUCCUCCUUACACAUUCCUUCAGGCAAUAUUUGGUCAUGAGUACCCUGUAAUUUUGUGACGUAUAAACUUGCUUGGUAUGGUUAACUGCAAUGUCUCUCGCUCAUUGAGACUUUUCUGAUUAUCUAUAACUUGUGGUUCCUUUAAUUUUAUAAUUUUGAUGCAUUCACUUUGGAAAAAGUAUCUGAUCUGAUGCUGUUGUUCCUCUAUUUUCGAAGGUUGGACCGCUUGAUGAGGAGAGAGAAAUCUUCCACUGGGAAACAAUAUCAGUGCCCUUGGCCUUUGCUUUUUGGAAAAUGGAAUUUCAGAGAUUUAAGUCAUGCAAGGAUCUUCCAUAUUUUCUAGAGAAAAAGUGGAGGCUCCGUAGAUGGGAUGAGCAGCAGCAGCAGCAGCAGAGCCAUGCUGUAGUUGACGAAGCCAACACUCACAUUGCAGAGGAUGAGUCGGGAGAUGUACCAAAUGGACAGUUGUGUGUAAUUUGUCCAUGCGGUCCUCCAGAUGUCGCCCAAGAGACCCGUGGUAGUUGACCCUCAAUGACCGUCCCACAGUGACCGUCGACUGUCGGCUCACAUCAACGAAAAUCUGGAGCUACAAUGGGUGUGUUUGGUUUAGAGAGAGACAAUGAACAGUAGAGUAAGGGCAAAACAGGAAUACAAUGUAUUAGUGAGGGCAAAGUUGGUAGGAUUGAAAAAACAUUCAUUGUCCCUAAAUAG